RNAcentral lists this non-coding RNA (21 nucleotides) under Arabidopsis thaliana (thale cress). Lineage: Eukaryota; Viridiplantae; Streptophyta; Magnoliopsida; Brassicales; Brassicaceae. The record is from RNAcentral.
UGAACUGCUUGAUUUGCCUGC